Molecule: long non-coding RNA, 235 nt
Filed under: Mytilus galloprovincialis (Mediterranean mussel)
Lineage: Eukaryota; Metazoa; Mollusca; Bivalvia; Mytilida; Mytilidae
Source: RNAcentral
GUCAUCUUUCAAAGUUACGACCAUCUUGUGUCGGUUACGACCAUCAUCCAAAAUACUAUAGUUGACAUUACGACCAUCACAAGUUAAAGUUACAACCAUCAUGCUCGAAUUUUUGAAUGACUGUUUUACGAAAAUUUGAAUGAUUUAAUGUGUCAAAUUUGGUUUCAAUAACAACGCACUCACGAUAUGUGUAUAUGAGACAAGCGGUUUGACUCAAAUGAACCUUUUUCUGCAC